RNAcentral lists this ribosomal RNA (402 nucleotides) under uncultured bacterium. RNAcentral describes it as "bacterial SSU rRNA". It matches the Rfam family "Bacterial small subunit ribosomal RNA", at positions 356 to 773 of the family's 1533-position model. The record is from RNAcentral.
GGGGAAUAUUGCACAAUGGGGGAAACCCUGAUGCAGCAACGCCGCGUGAAGGAUGAAGGUUUUCGGAUUGUAAACUUCUUUAGUCAGGGACGAAUAAAUGACGGUACCUGAAGAAUAAGCCACGGCUAACUACGUGCCAGCAGCCGCGGUAAUACGUAGGUGGCAAGCGUUGUCCGGAAUUACUGGGUGUAAAGGGCGUGUAGGCGGGAAUGUAAGUCAGAUGUGAAAUCCCAGAGCUUAACUCUGGAGCUGCAUCUGAAACUAUGUUUCUUGAGUGCCGGAGAGGAAAGCGGAAUUCCUAGUGUAGCGGUGAAAUGCGUAGAUAUUAGGAGGAACACCAGUGGCGAAGGCGGCUUUCUUGACGGUAACUGACGCUGAGGCGCGAAAGCGUGGGGAGCAAAC